GUGCCCAGCCGCCGCGGUAAAACGUCGGGGGCGCGCGUUGUCCGGAAUUACUGGGCGUAAAGGGCACGCAGGCGGUACGCCAAGUCGGGGGUGUAAAGUUACGGCUCAACCGUGACCUUGCACUCGAUACUGGCGUACUGGAGUGCGGGAGAGGGAAGUGGAAUUCCCGGUGUAGCGGUGAAAUGCGUAGAUAUCGGGAGGAACGCCAGUGGCGAAGGCGGCUUCCUGGCCCGCGACUGACGCUCAUGUGCGAAAGCCAGGGGAGCGAACCGGAUUAGAUACCCGGGUAGUCCUGGCCGUAAACGAUGGGUGCUAGGUGUAGGCGCGUCAAGCGUCUGUGCCGCAGUUAACGCGAUAAGCACCUCGCCUGGGGAGUACGGUCGCAAGGCUGAAACUUAAAGGAAUUGACGG
Molecule: ribosomal RNA, 411 nt
Filed under: uncultured bacterium
Lineage: Bacteria
Description: bacterial SSU rRNA
Rfam family: Bacterial small subunit ribosomal RNA
Source: RNAcentral